RNAcentral lists this ribosomal RNA (495 nucleotides) under uncultured archaeon. RNAcentral's name for it is "bacterial SSU rRNA". It matches the Rfam family "Archaeal small subunit ribosomal RNA", at positions 857 to 1351 of the family's 1478-position model. The record is from RNAcentral.
UAAAGGAAUUGGCGGGGGAGCACCACAAGGGGUGAAGCCUGCGGUUCAAUUGGAGUCAACGCCAGAAAUCUUACCCGGAGAGACAGCAGAAUGAAGGUCAAGCUGAAGACUUUACCAGACAAGCUGAGAGGUGGUGCAUGGCCGUCGUCAGCUCGUGCCGUGAGAUGUCCUGUUAAGUCAGGUAACGAGCGAGAUCCCUACCACUAGUUGCUAUCAUUACUCUCAGGAGUAGUGGAGCGAAUUAGUGGGACCGCUGUAGUAAUAUGGAGGAAGGAAGGGGCCACGGCAGGUCAGUAUGCCCCGAAACUCUGGGGCCACACGCGGGCUGCAAUGGUAGUGACAAUGGGCGCCUAACUCGAAAGAGUGCGGCAAUCCUUAAACGCUACCACAGUUAUGACUGAGGGCUGUAACUCGCCCUCACGAAUAUGGAAUCCCUAGUAACUGCGUGUCAUUAUCGCGCGGUGAAUACGUCCCUGCUCCUUGCACACACCGCCA